UGUUGGCGUCAAACAAUCCCAGUGGGGCAAUGACCCCUAUCAAAAAUACUCACCCAUCAACACCGGGGCUGUAUUUCCUCGUCUUCCAAGGAGUUCCAGUCCCCGAGCUAACAUGGUUGUCAUUAGUCCAGUUAGAAAGCAAGUAAUUAAUCCCAUAGGUGCUCGCCUUGUUGUCACUUUUCCUUCGGCCUGGAUGGAUUGAUACUUUAAACUACAUGUGAAGACAGAAGGCUGGGAAGGAGACGGGGGACACGUAACUAGAGGUGUUCGUCAUUACACACGCAAAGAGAGAGAGCGAUUCCAGACACCAUUUGCAGUCAACCCUACACACAGCCAUCUUCCAGCCCAUUAAACUCUGUAAUGGAAUGAGGCAAGCUGGAGCCUACUGGCAGCACCUUCUGUACUGUGUGUGCGCUCUUUGCAUAAUGUCUGCUUCCCUCCCUGCUCACGUGCUGCAUGUGACAGAGCCAAGGAAAACCCCCAGAGCAAGAAUGUCAGGUUGAGUAUUGCUCACUCCCUCACUAGCCCACUCUCUCUCCCUCCAUCACUAUCUUUUCACUCUCCCUUUCUUUUGGUCUCUCUCUAUGGCAGCAACAAGCUCUGGGUGAUAAACUAAUCCAGUGGCCUUACUGACUGAAUGGAGCAUUUCUCUCAUUUGUAUCUAGUUCACAACCCCAUUUUCAGCCCUAAGGCUGUGGUCGCCUCACGAAGUGUGUGUGCAGUGAAGGGUUGGUUCAUCCUCAGUGCUGCUAGCACUACAAAUCAUAGGGGAAGACUACAACACUGCUCACGACAGAUUCCUCUGACACACACGUGAGUGCACGAAUAUACAAAGAGCUAGUUUCUUCCACAAGCAGUGAAAUCUGUCUGUGUGCAUUCCUAUGUGUUGACAGGAAGUUAAUUCUCAGUCCUUCUAGCACUGGGUUGUCUCACCAGGGAAACUAGAGCUCUACUGACAGAUUGUGUUUUGAUGGUUGGCUCAUUCUCAAACACUGCUGCAGGGAGUUAGGGGAAGGGUAGAGGUUAGGGGAUGUGUUGAAAUGGAGCUGAACCUUUGUAAGAUGGAUUGGUUCUGUUGGUUGGUCCGCUGUGAAAGUAUCGUAAAAGUAAUAGUCGCCACAUUCUAUAGUAAAUCUCAUUGCGGGACAUAACCAAGUUGGUGAGAGCUGAGGUGCAACCAUGUGAAAAAUAUAUCCAGCCACUCUUGGAGGAUUUUUUUUUUCUCAAUAAAAUAAAUUGCCUCAACUUGA
Long non-coding RNA from Oncorhynchus masou masou (cherry salmon), 1250 nucleotides. RefSeq lists it as uncharacterized. The record is from RefSeq and is a predicted model, not a curated record. NCBI's taxonomy places the organism in Eukaryota, Metazoa, Chordata, Actinopteri, Salmoniformes, Salmonidae. The transcript is spliced from 2 exons.